This 1241-nucleotide ribosomal RNA is filed under the name metagenome. Its description in RNAcentral is "bacterial LSU rRNA". It matches the Rfam family "Bacterial large subunit ribosomal RNA", at positions 1564 to 2814 of the family's 2925-position model. The record is from RNAcentral.
UGAAUACCAGACGCUACGGCGUUGAAGCAGUGUAUGUCAGACUUCCAAGAAAAGCUCGCAAUGUCCGAAAUAAAAUAAUGCCUGUACCAUAACCGACACAGGUGGGUAGGUAGAGUAUACUAAGGGGCGCGAGAUAACUCUCUCUAAGGAACUCGGCAAAAUAACUCCGUAACUUCGGGAGAAGGAGUGCCUUAUUUUAAGGUUGCAAUAACAAGAUCCAAGCAACUGUUUACCAAAAACACAGGUCUCCGCUAAGUCGUAAGACGAUGUAUGGGGGCUGACGCCUGCCCAGUGCCAGAAGGUUAAAGAAGUUGGUUAGCUAUUGCGAAGCUGAUGACUGAAGCCCUGGUGAACGGCGGCCGUAACGAUAACGGUCCUAAGGUAGCGAAAUUCCUUGUCGGGUAAGUUCCGACCCGCACGAAAGGCGUAAUGAUUUGGAUACUGUCUCGGAGAGGGGCUCGGUGAAAUAGACUUGUCUGUGAAGAUGCGGACUACCUGCACCCGGACAGAAAGACCCUAUGAAGCUUUACUGUAACUUGAAAUUGAAAUUGGACUUUAUUUGCGCAGUAUAGGUGGGAGGCGUUUGAAGAUAUUCUUGCGGGAAUGUUGGAGCCAUUAGUGAGAUACCACUCUUGUAAUGUUAGAUUUCUAACUUUGUACCAUAAUCUGGUCAAAGAACAGUUUCAGGCGGGCAGUUUGACUGGGGCGGUCGCCUCCCAAAUGGUAACGGAGGCGUACAAAGGCUUCCUCUGAACGUGUAGAAAUCGUAUCUGGAGUGUAAAGGCAUAAGGAAGCUUGACUGUGAGACCUACAAGUCAAGCAGGGACGAAAGUCGGUCUUAGUGAUCUGACGGUACUGAGUGGAAAGGCCGUCACUCAACGGAUAAAAGUUACUCUAGGAUAACAGGCUGAUCUCCCCCAAGAGUUCACAUCGACGGGGAGGUUUGGCACCUCGAUGUCGGCUCAUCGCAUCCUGGGGCGGUAGUACGUCCCAAGGGUUGGGCUGUUCGCCCAUGAAAGCGGUACGCGAGCUGGGUUCAGAACGUCGUGAGACAGUUCGGUCCAUAUCCGGUGUAGGCGUUAGAAUAUUGAGAGGAGCCUUCUUUAGUACGAGAGGACCGAGAAGGACAUACCUCCGGUGUACCAGUUAUCGUGCCAACGGUAAACGCUGGGUAGCUAUGUAUGGAGAGGAUAACCGCUGAAAGCAUCUAAGUGGGAAGCCCACCUCGAGAUGAGUAUUCU